RNAcentral lists this ribosomal RNA (485 nucleotides) under Streptococcus mitis. Its description in RNAcentral is "bacterial SSU rRNA". It matches the Rfam family "Bacterial small subunit ribosomal RNA", at positions 28 to 498 of the family's 1533-position model. The record is from RNAcentral. Lineage: Bacteria; Bacillati; Bacillota; Bacilli; Lactobacillales; Streptococcaceae.
GACGAACGCUGGCGGCGUGCCUAAUACAUGCAAGUAGAACGCUGAAGGAGGAGCUUGCUUCUCUGGAUGAGUUGCGAACGGGUGAGUAACGCGUAGGUAACCUGCCUGGUAGCGGGGGAUAACUAUUGGAAACGAUAGCUAAUACCGCAUAAGAGUAGAUGUUGCAUGACAUUUGCUUAAAAGGUGCAAUUGCAUCACUACCAGAUGGACCUGCGUUGUAUUAGCUAGUUGGUGAGGUAACGGCUCACCAAGGCGACGAUACACAGCCGACCUGAGAGGGUGAUCGGCCACACUGGGACUGAGACACGGCCCAGACUCCUACGGGAGGCAGCAGUAGGGAAUCUUCGGCAAUGGACGGAAGUCUGACCGAGCAACGCCGCGUGAGUGAAGAAGGUUUUCGGAUCGUAAAGCUCUGUUGUAAGAGAAGAACGAGUGUGAGAGUGGAAAGUUCACACUGUGACGGUAUCUACCAGAAAAGGACGGUA